Notothenia coriiceps (black rockcod) is the source of this 224-nucleotide long non-coding RNA. RefSeq lists it as uncharacterized. The record is from RefSeq and is a predicted model, not a curated record. Lineage: Eukaryota; Metazoa; Chordata; Actinopteri; Perciformes; Nototheniidae. The transcript is spliced from 2 exons.
UCCGUGGAAGCGUUGCUGUUUCUCCGGCGAUGGCGAGUACAUCGUGGCCGGUUCUGCCCGGCAGCACGCGCUCUACAUCUGGGAGAAGAGCAUCGGCAACCUGGUGAAGAUCCUUCAUGGAACCAGAGGAGAGCUGCUGCUGGAUGUGGCGUGGCAUCCUGUCCGUCCAAUUAUCGCUUCCAUCUCCAGUGGAGUGGUGUCCAUCUGGGCUCAGAACCAAGUGG